AUUGAACGCUGGCGGCAUGCCUUACACAUGCAAGUCGAACGGCAGCAUGGAGAGCUUGCUCUCUGAUGGCGAGUGGCGAACGGGUGAGUAAUGCAUCGGAACGUACCGUGUAAUGGGGGAUAACGUAGCGAAAGUUACGCUAAUACCGCAUACGACCUGAGGGUGAAAGCAGGGGAUCGCAAGACCUUGCGUUAUACGAGCGGCCGAUGUCAGAUUAGCGAGUUGGUGAGGUAAAGGCUCACCAAGGCGCCGACCUGUAGCGGGUCUGAGAGGAUGAUCCGCCACACUGGGACUGAGACACGGCCCAGACUCCUACGGGAGGCAGCAGUGGGGAAUUUUGGACAAUGGGGGCAACCCUGAUCCAGCCAUGCCGCGUGAGUGAAGAAGGCCUUCGGGUUGUAAAGCUCUUUCGGCCGGGAAGAAAUCGCACAGGCUAAUACUCUGUGUGGAUGACGGUACCGGCAUAAGAAGCACCGGCUAACUACGUGCCAGCAGCCGCCGUAA
Molecule: ribosomal RNA, 504 nt
Filed under: uncultured bacterium
Lineage: Bacteria
Description: partial 16S ribosomal RNA
Rfam family: Bacterial small subunit ribosomal RNA
Source: RNAcentral